GACGAACGCUGGCGGCGUGCUUAACACAUGCAAGUCGAACGGAAAGGCCCUGCUUUUGUGGGGUGCUCGAGUGGCGAACGGGUGAGUAACACGUGAGUAACCUGCCCUUGACUUUGGGAUAACUUCAGGAAACUGGGGCUAAUACCGGAUAGGAGCUCCUGCUGCAUGGUGGGGGUUGGAAAGUUUCUGCGGUUGGGGAUGGACUCGGGGCUUAUCAGCUUGUUGGUGGGGUAGUGGCUUACCAAGGCUUUGACUGGUAGCCGGCCUGAGAGGGUGACCGGCCACAUUGGGACUGAGAUACGGCCCAGACUCCUACGGGAGGCAGCAGUGGGGAAUAUUGCACAAUGGGCGGAAGCCUGAUGCAGCAACGCCGCGUGCGGGAUGACGGCCUUCGGGUUGUAAACCGCUUUCGCCUGUGACGAAGCGUGAGUGACGGUAAUGGGUAAAGAAGCACCGGCUAGCUACGUG
Molecule: ribosomal RNA, 468 nt
Filed under: uncultured bacterium
Lineage: Bacteria
Description: partial 16S ribosomal RNA
Rfam family: Bacterial small subunit ribosomal RNA
Source: RNAcentral